RNAcentral lists this ribosomal RNA (253 nucleotides) under uncultured bacterium. RNAcentral's name for it is "partial 16S ribosomal RNA". It matches the Rfam family "Bacterial small subunit ribosomal RNA", at positions 524 to 776 of the family's 1533-position model. The record is from RNAcentral.
UACGGAGGGUGCUAGCGUUGUUCGGAAUUACUGGGCGUAAAGCGCACGUAGGCGGUCUGUUAUGUCCGAUGUGAAAGCCCUUGGCUCAACUGAGGAAGUGCAUCCGAAACUGGCAGGCUAGAGUACUAAAGAGGAUCGCGGAAUUCCCGGUGUAGAGGUGAAAUUCGUAGAUAUCGGGAGGAACACCAGUGGCGAAGGCGGCGAUCUGGGUAGAUACUGACGCUGAGGUGCGAAAGCGUGGGGAGCAAACAGG